RNAcentral lists this ribosomal RNA (460 nucleotides) under uncultured bacterium. Its description in RNAcentral is "partial 16S ribosomal RNA". It matches the Rfam family "Bacterial small subunit ribosomal RNA", at positions 338 to 795 of the family's 1533-position model. The record is from RNAcentral.
CCUACGGGAGGCAGCAGUGAGGAAUAUUGGUCAAUGGGCGCUAGCCUGAACCAGCCAAGUAGCGUGAAGGAUGACUGCCCUAUGGGUUGUAAACUUCUUUUAUAUGGGAAUAAAGUGCAGUAUGUAUACUGCUUUGCAUGUACCUUAUGAAUAAGGAUCGGCUAACUCCGUGCCAGCAGCCGCGGUAAUACGGAGGAUCCGAGCGUUAUCCGGAUUUAUUGGGUUUAAAGGGAGCGUAGGCGGGUUGUUAAGUCAGUUGUGAAAGUUUGCGGCUCAACCGUAAAAUUGCAGUUGAUACUGGCAUCCUUGAGUACAGUAGAGGUAGGCGGAAUUCGUGGUGUAGCGGUGAAAUGCUUAGAUAUCACGCAGAACUCCGAUCGCGAAGGCAGCCUACCGGCGCGCAACUGACGCUCAUGCACGAAAGCGUGGGUAUCGAACAGGAUUAGAUACCCCAGUAGUC